CGUAAACCUUCAGUUAUUUCGCGGGCUCUGAGAGCCUAUUGGAGCCCUGGGAAUUGUCACGUUACAGCUAAGAUCCUUACUUUUCAAUAAAAAGAGGUAAGACGCACGACUCCUUGUCAGACAGGGUACUUCCUGCUUGAAGCCUUGUCAGGUUUUUGCCUGCCAUAGGAGUUCUGUUAUACUCACAGACACCAUUCAAACAGUUUUAGAAAAUUCAGAGUGUUUUCUAUCCAAACCUGAACAAUAAUAUGCAUAUUCUAGCUUCUGAGUUGGUGUAGGAGGCAGUUAAAAAUGGGAACAUAUUUUUUCCAAAAUUCUCAAUACUGCCCCCUAUACCAAAGAGGUUAAGAACACAUUCUUAUUUACAAUGUUAUGUAUUGCUCAUCAUUGUUGUCGGCUGUUGUUUACUUAUUUAUUUGUUGUCUCAUCACAUUAUUUUACAAAAAAAAAACGGAAACGUAGCUAACACAUCAGUAUUUAUUGUUUCGACGGGUCUUUUUAGUGGUAUGGGGUUCCAGUAUGGCGUCGCUGGUCGCAUUGAUUGACAGAUCAUCCCUGAAGUUGUUUUAUUACGUAAAAGUUCUUUCACAUUAUGACGUUGGCUGAGUUACCGUAUAAAAUGCGAUAGCCUUAUCUCUUUGGUAAUCACUUGGUUAAGUUUUACGUGAUGAGAACAUAAGCUCCAGUCAUAGACUUUAACCAUGGAGGAUAAUAAGGAUAAUAAGAGUUUAAACGAAGAUGAUCCACAUGAUCAUCAAAGUUUGGAAGGUCAAGUCCAGAAAAUGAAGAAAGAUAUCCUGAGUUUAAACUAUCCAGAAGAUAGUGAAGUGAAGGAUCCCCUGCCUCAGAUCGAGCUGAAGGCUGUGACAAGGAGAAAAGUUAAGGUGAGACAAUAGAUUGAGGAGAGAAAGGGAAAUCUGGGGUCUUACCUGUCCACACUCCAAACCUGUCCAAUAUGCCAUACAACAUGCUGUUGUGAGGUUGGAGGGUAAAUUGUCCUUACAACAGACUUCCAUAAUAAUAUUCAAUCACCAAUCGUUUACCCUAGCUCUUCUCAAAGGCCUGUAUAGCAACGGCAACAUACAGUAUGUCACUGACUGUAUUGUCUUUUUAGACAAAGAGGAGGACCGGUGCCAACAGGUCCACAGUUGAACAGAGCACUGAUACUGAUGCAGCUGAGAGAGAUUUUGUUGAUAAUCAGAAUGAUGAAGAUGAGGAAGAGGUGAAGAAGGAUCCCCUGCCUCAGAUGGAGCAGGAUGCCGUGAAGAGAAAUAAAGUCAAGGUAAGGGAAUAGAUUGAGCAGAGAUGUGGAUAUUUGAGAUAUCUUUCAUGUCUAUAACUUGACCCUACAGCAUGUUGUUCUGAGGAAGGUAAAUUGCCCAUACAAUACCCUUUUAUCUCCUAAUAGUAAAUCUAGGGCUGACCCCAUUUGGUCGACUGGUCGAUUGUUUGGUCGAUAGGCUAUUGGUUGACUGGGAUUUCUUAAGUCGAGCAGUCGCAAAAGUUUUUUUUUCUUCAUGGUGCACAUGGACACCUGUCUGAUUCGCGCCUGUCACAGUUGACUAAUCCAUUACCGAGGCCACAGUGAUGGCACAGUCCAUCACGCUAAGACGUGAUACUGAAAUUGUAUAUGGUUAUAUUAUGUAAAAAUAAUGGUGCAACACUAAUCAAUCAAAUAUUAUUUUAUAACAAAUGUGCUUUCUCCCGCGUUGGAUACGGUCGCUGUCCGUGGUUCUGAAACAUAAUCUUCAGUGCGCCGUAGAAUUGGGGCCCUUCCCUAUGUUGCUAUGUGCAUAAUAGCAAAGUUAACCAGCAUAUUGGGAUUGAGAACAAUGCUGCAGAGGCAGCAGCAGCAGCAGAGAUGGGGAAACAGCCCUUGCCUUAGCCUAAUUGUCUAAGAAGAUUGAGGAGAGAAGAAAACACAACUUAAUUAGGUCUAUAAUCAAUAGCCUAAUUGUUAAAUGUGCCUGGCUUUGUAAAUCAUCC
This 1986-nucleotide long non-coding RNA is filed under the name Salmo trutta (river trout). RNAcentral's name for it is "lncRNA (ENSSTUG00000014330.1)". Lineage: Eukaryota; Metazoa; Chordata; Actinopteri; Salmoniformes; Salmonidae. The record is from RNAcentral.